This 302-nucleotide ribosomal RNA is filed under the name Dentiscutata erythropus. RNAcentral describes it as "partial 25S ribosomal RNA". Lineage: Eukaryota; Fungi; Glomeromycota; Glomeromycetes; Diversisporales; Gigasporaceae. The record is from RNAcentral.
UUGAAAGGGAAACGAUUGAAGUCAGUCAUGCCGGCGGGAAUCAACUUAGGGGAAACUUUAAGUGCACUUCACGUUUGGCAGGUCAGCAUCGAUUUUGGAUGUCAUAAAAUGAUUGGGGGAAGGUAGCUCCUUCGGGAGUGUUAUAGCCCUUGGUAGAUGUGAUGUCUGGGAUCGAGGAUUGCAACGGAUACCCUUUGGGCUAGCCGCCUGAUCUCUAACUAGUGUUGGGUUACGGACAGCAUGCUGACCGUGAUUUAAUUAUUGGUUAAAAGGUUAGAGCGAGUGUAAAUUCGUUAAGGAUG